RNAcentral lists this ribosomal RNA (253 nucleotides) under uncultured bacterium. RNAcentral describes it as "partial 16S ribosomal RNA". It matches the Rfam family "Bacterial small subunit ribosomal RNA", at positions 524 to 776 of the family's 1533-position model. The record is from RNAcentral.
UACGGAGGGUGCAAGCGUUAAUCGGAAUUACUGGGCGUAAAGCGCGCGUAGGCGGCUAGAUAAGUCGGAUGUGAAAGCCCCGGGCUCAACCUGGGAACUGCAUACGAUACUGUUUGGCUAGAGUAUGAGAGAGGGAGGUAGAAUUCCACGUGUAGCGGUGAAAUGCGUAGAUAUGUGGAGGAAUACCGGUGGCGAAGGCAGCCCCCUGGGUCGAUACUGACGCUCAUGCACGAAAGCGUGGGGAGCAAACAGG